ACGCUCGACACCUACGGGAGCAGCAGUGGGGAAUAUUGCACAAUGGGGGAAACCCUGAUGCAGCGACGCCGCGUGGAGGAAGAAGGUCUUCGGAUUGUAAACUCCUGUUGUUGGGGAAAAAGAGGAUGGUACCCAACAAGGAAGUGACGGCUAACUACGUGCCAGCAGCCGCGGUAAUCUGAGCGGCUGGCAAGGC
This 196-nucleotide ribosomal RNA is filed under the name uncultured bacterium. RNAcentral's name for it is "partial 16S ribosomal RNA". It matches the Rfam family "Bacterial small subunit ribosomal RNA", at positions 328 to 539 of the family's 1533-position model. The record is from RNAcentral.